This 543-nucleotide ribosomal RNA is filed under the name uncultured kinetoplastid. Its description in RNAcentral is "bacterial SSU rRNA". It matches the Rfam family "Eukaryotic small subunit ribosomal RNA", at positions 615 to 1034 of the family's 1831-position model. Lineage: Eukaryota; Euglenozoa; Kinetoplastea. The record is from RNAcentral.
GCUGUUAAGGGUUCGUAGUUGAACUGUGAGUUGGCAAGCAAACGGCGGAGCCCGUGCUCUGAUUGGACACGAGGUAAACCAGCCGCUCUUUCAACUUGAGAACAGAGGAACGAAUACACGGGUCGGUACCACCCAAUUCACGCAUACAAUGUAUGCAGGGGGCGCCCGUGAUACUUACUGUGCAAAAGAAGUGUGACCAAAGCAGUCAUUUGACCUGAAUUAGAAAGCAUGGGAUACAAAGGAGCAGCCUACAGGCUACCGUUUCGGCUUUUGUUGGUUUUAAAAGCCCGUGGGAGUUAUGGACGCGCAUGACAAGUGACAAGGCUAUCUGGCCUUGCUUCGCUGCCUGCGUUACUCGUGGGCUUGCGUCGUCCAGGAAUGAAGGAGGGUUGUUCGGGGGAGAACGUACUUGAGCGUGGAGGUGAAAUUCUUAGACCGCUCAAAGACGAACUACAGCGAAGGCAUUCUCCAAGGUACCUUCCUCAAUCAAGAACCAAAGUGUGGAGAUCGAAGAUGAUUAGAUACCAUUGUGUCCGUCCCUUU